RNAcentral lists this ribosomal RNA (497 nucleotides) under uncultured bacterium. Its description in RNAcentral is "partial 16S ribosomal RNA". It matches the Rfam family "Bacterial small subunit ribosomal RNA", at positions 28 to 507 of the family's 1533-position model. The record is from RNAcentral.
GAUGAACGCUGGCGGCGUGCCUAAUACAUGCAAGUCGAGCGAACAGACGAGGAGCUUGCUCCUCUGACGUUAGCGGCGGACGGGUGAGUAACACGUGGAUAACCUACCUAUAAGACUGGGAUAACUUCGGGAAACCGGAGCUAAUACCGGAUAAUAUAUUGAACCGCAUGGUUCAAUAGUGAAAGACGGUUUUGCUGUCACUUAUAGAUGGAUCCGCGCCGCAUUAGCUAGUUGGUAAGGUAACGGCUUACCAAGGCAACGAUGCGUAGCCGACCUGAGAGGGUGGUCGGCCACACUGGAACUGAGACACGGUCCAGACUCCUACGGGAGGCAGCAGUAGGGAAUCUUCCGCAAUGGGCGAAAGCCUGACGGAGCAACGCCGCGUGAGUGAUGAAGGUCUUCGGAUCGUAAAACUCUGUUAUUAGGGAAGAACAAAUGUGUAAGUAACUAUGCCCGUCUUGACGGUACCUAAUCAGAAAGCCACGGCUAACUACGUG